UGGGGAAUUUUGGACAAUGGGCGAAAGCCUGAUCCAGCAAUGCCGCGUGUGUGAAGAAGGCCUUCGGGUUGUAAAGCACUUUUGUCCGGAAAGAAAUCCUUGGCUCUAAUACAGUCGGGGAUGACGGUACCGGAAGAAUAAGCACCGGCUAACUACGUGCCAGCAGCCGCGGUAAUACGUAGGGUGCAAGCGUUAAUCGGAAUUACUGGGCGUAAAGCGUGCGCAGGCGGUUUGCUAAGGCCGAUGUGAAAUCCCCGGGCUCAACCUGGGAACUGCAUUGGUGACUGGCAGGCUAGAGUAUGGCAGAGGGGGGUAGAAUUCCACGUGUAGCAGUGAAAUGCGUAGAGAUGUGGAGGAAUACCGAUGGCGAAGGCAGCCCCCUGGGCCAAUACUGACGCUCAUGCACGAAAGCGUGGGGAGCAAACAGGAUUAGAUACCCUGGUAGUCCACGCCCUAAACGAUGUCAACUAGUUGUUGGGGAUUCAUUUCCUUAGUAACGUAGCUAACGCGUGAAGUUGACCGCCUGGGGAGUACGGUCGCAAGAUUAAAACUC
Molecule: ribosomal RNA, 553 nt
Filed under: uncultured bacterium
Lineage: Bacteria
Description: partial 16S ribosomal RNA
Rfam family: Bacterial small subunit ribosomal RNA
Source: RNAcentral